This is a long non-coding RNA of Lathyrus oleraceus (garden pea), 805 nucleotides long. RefSeq lists it as uncharacterized. The transcript has 2 exons. Lineage: Eukaryota; Viridiplantae; Streptophyta; Magnoliopsida; Fabales; Fabaceae. The record is from RefSeq and is a predicted model, not a curated record.
UAAAGGCCCGACGAAGCAUGGGAAAAGGCUGGGUGGGGAGUUUAGAUUUAUCACUUCAUUUGGUACUCAACUUGACUAACCUCUCUAUAUUGCGCCACCUACAGAAAUCGCUUCGUCGCAUCGGAGGCGGCGAAGCUGAUCAGAACGGUUACCUACUACCAUCAAUAAACUCCUCUCAAACUCCUAUCUCCAUUUCUUGUGUCAAUUUCGUACAAAACUUACUGCAGAUCCCUCAAUCAUAAAAUUGGCUUAAGAACCCUAACACUUUAAACAACAAUUAAAUGAAGAUGGAGGGGAAUCAAGCCACUCCACCUUGGGGCUUUGAUUCCCCUCAUUGAAGGCUACAUUGUGGUAACUAUUUCAUAGUGAAUAAAAGAGGAACGGGGAAAGAGCUUACCUAUAGGGAAGAUAUUAGCCCCGGAGAUAAUAGGAGUUGAAGAAGAUGAAGCUAAAAAAGAUAGAAAACCAGAGAUAUUCAGUGCUUAUGCUGAUCAUGAAGCAUCAUUCAUGAAGAUUUGGUCAGGGCAUGAAAGUUGACAAAAUGGACAUGAAGAAUAUUGAAGUCAAUUAAGCACUUGGAGGCACAAGGGUAGAAGAUUUAUGGGAUAAAGACCAAAGUAGACUUAGGAGUCGGUUUGACUUUAGUGAACAGUCUGAACAAAAAGUCAACAUCUAACAAAAGUCAACUCUAGGUCAAAUGUAGGUUUUAUUAUAUAUAAUUUGCUUUAGGACUUUUUGUAAUGUUUUUCAUGACUUUGUAAUAGAAAUUAGUCCUUUUAAAUGAAUUGUGUGACUUGUUAUGCAA